UGGGUUGUGGCUCAGUGGUAGAGCGCUCACCUAUCGCGUGCGAGGCCCUGGGUUCGAUCCUCAGCACCACAU
This 72-nucleotide transfer RNA is filed under the name Ictidomys tridecemlineatus (thirteen-lined ground squirrel). RNAcentral's name for it is "Spermophilus tridecemlineatus (thirteen-lined ground squirrel) tRNA". It matches the Rfam family "tRNA". From Rfam's summary of the family: Transfer RNA (tRNA) molecules are approximately 80 nucleotides in length. Their secondary structure includes four short double-helical elements and three loops (D, anti-codon, and T loops). The record is from Rfam by way of RNAcentral. Lineage: Eukaryota; Metazoa; Chordata; Mammalia; Rodentia; Sciuridae.